UACGUAGGGGGCUAGCGUUGUCCGGAUUUAUUGGGCGUAAAGAGCGUGUAGGCGGCCAGGUAGGUCCGUUGUGAAAACUCGAGGCUCAACCUCGAGACGUCGGCGGAAACCAUCUGGCUAGAGUCCGGAAGAGGAGAGUGGAAUUCCUGGUGUAGCGGUGAAAUGCGCAGAUAUCAGGAAGAACACCCGUGGCGAAGGCGGCUCUCUGGGACGGUACUGACGCUGAGACGCGAAAGCGUGGGGAGCGAACAGG
Molecule: ribosomal RNA, 253 nt
Filed under: uncultured bacterium
Lineage: Bacteria
Description: partial 16S ribosomal RNA
Rfam family: Bacterial small subunit ribosomal RNA
Source: RNAcentral